RNAcentral lists this ribosomal RNA (503 nucleotides) under uncultured bacterium. RNAcentral describes it as "partial 16S ribosomal RNA". It matches the Rfam family "Bacterial small subunit ribosomal RNA", at positions 30 to 523 of the family's 1533-position model. The record is from RNAcentral.
AUUGAACGCUGGCGGCAGGCUUAACACAUGCAAGUCGAGCGGGGUGAUGGUGCUUGCACUAUCACUUAGCGGCGGACGGGUGAGUAAUGCUUAGGAAUCUGCCUAUUAGUGGGGGACAACAUCUCGAAAGGGAUGCUAAUACCGCAUACGUCCUACGGGAGAAAGCAGGGGAUCACUUGUGACCUUGCGCUAAUAGAUGAGCCUAAGUCGGAUUAGCUAGUUGGUGGGGUAAAGGCCUACCGAGGCGACGAUCUGUAGCGGGUCUGAGAGGAUGAUCCGCCACACUGGGACUGGGACAAGGCCCAGACUCCUACGGGAGGCAGCAGUGGGGAAUAUUGGACAAUGGGGGGAACCCUGAUCCAGCCAUGCCGCGUGUGUGAAGAAGGCCUUAUGGUUGUAAAGCACUUUAAGCGAGGAGGAGGCUCUUUUGGUUAAUACCCUAGAUGAGUGGACGUUACUCGCAGAAUAAGCACCGGCUAACUCUGUGCCAGCCGCCGCCGUAA